UUUCUCGUUUCUUGGCUUUCUUGCUUCUUUCGUUAGUUUCGUUCAUUUGCGAUUGAACCUCUCGGCGGAUAGGACGUACUCUGAAAAGUGCUGGAUUUAUAGAGCUUCCCUCGCUAUUGCUUCGAGCAUGGAAGAGCACCCGCUAUAAGUAACUCGAUCUUAUCACAAUCACAAUUUUAAUGGAGAUUGAGGAAGAGAGUAUGACAAGUAGCAAAAUUUAUUGUAACAACAGGAUUUUUACAAUCAAGAGUUCAUAUGUUCAUCUGAAAAAUGGAUGAGGAUGAUUUCUAACCAUGAAAUGAAGUACAAUAUGACUUAUAAUGCAAGAAAUGUGUAUACUAAGAUAUAUACAUAUAAGAAUGAUGAAUGAGAACAGAUGAUAGGAAUAUUAAUAUGCAUUGCACAAUCGCAAUGAGUGCAUUACAGUUUCUUAUGACGAGUUUUCUUAUCAAUAACAACAUAUAUAUAUAUAUAUAUAUAUAUAUAUAUAUAUAUAUAUAUAUAUAUGAUUCAUUUGAGAUCCAAAUACUACUUGAAGAUGCAUCAUUAAACUACUCGUCAUCAAGUCACUCUAACUUUCAAGUGGAACAUUUCUAAUGUAAAGAUGGAUAUAGAAGACAAAAUAUAGAAGAAAUUACAUAUGUGCAGAAUAAUACACCUUAUGGACAAGUAAUAAAUGGAAAUAUUUCAUAGAAAUAA
This is a long non-coding RNA of Cataglyphis hispanica, 699 nucleotides long. RefSeq lists it as uncharacterized. Lineage: Eukaryota; Metazoa; Arthropoda; Insecta; Hymenoptera; Formicidae. The transcript has 8 exons. The record is from RefSeq and is a predicted model, not a curated record.